UUAACGCGAAGAACCUUACCUGGCCUUGACAUGUCGGGAACAUUCCAGAGAUGGAUUGGUGCCUUCGGGGACUCGAACACAGGUGCUGCAUGGCUGUCGUCAGCUCGUGUCGUGAGAUGUUGGGUUAAGUAACGCAACGAGCGCAACCCUUGUUCUUAGUUGGCAGCCCGUAAUGGUGGGAACUCUAAGGAGGCCCCCGGUGUCAAAACGGAGGAAGGUGGGGAUGACGUCAAGUCAUCAUGGGGUUACGGCCAGGGCUCACACGUACUACAAUGGUAG
This 279-nucleotide ribosomal RNA is filed under the name Pseudomonas sp. SB32. Its description in RNAcentral is "partial 16S ribosomal RNA". It matches the Rfam family "Bacterial small subunit ribosomal RNA", at positions 956 to 1236 of the family's 1533-position model. The record is from RNAcentral. Lineage: Bacteria; Pseudomonadati; Pseudomonadota; Gammaproteobacteria; Pseudomonadales; Pseudomonadaceae.